This is a non-coding RNA of Cordylochernes scorpioides, 70 nucleotides long. The record is from the annotation of a GenBank genome assembly. Lineage: Eukaryota; Metazoa; Arthropoda; Arachnida; Pseudoscorpiones; Chernetidae.
GUCCAGGGUAGCCUAGUGGUCAUGGCAUCUGCCCGGAAAGCGGAUUGGGUUCGAUUCCCAUCCCUUGACA